Molecule: ribosomal RNA, 500 nt
Filed under: uncultured bacterium
Lineage: Bacteria
Description: partial 16S ribosomal RNA
Rfam family: Bacterial small subunit ribosomal RNA
Source: RNAcentral
GACGAACGCUGGCGGCGUGCCUAAUACAUGCAAGUCGAGCGGACUGAUUAAGAGCUUGCUCUUAUGACGUUAGCGGCGGACGGGUGAGUAACGCGUGGGCAACCUGCCCUGUAGAUCGGGAUAACACCGAGAAAUCGGUGCUAAUACCGGGUAAUAUCUGAGAUCACAUGAUCUUAGGUUAAAAGAUGGCUCCGGCUAUCACUACAGGAUGGGCCCGCGGCGCAUUAGCUAGUUGGUAAGGUAAUGGCUUACCAAGGCGACGAUGCGUAGCCGACCUGAGAGGGUGAUCGGCCACACUGGGACUGAGACACGGCCCAGACUCCUACGGGAGGCAGCAGUAGGGAAUCUUCCGCAAUGGACGAAAGUCUGACGGAGCAACGCCGCGUGAGUGAUGAAGGGUUUCGGCUCGUAAAGCUCUGUUGUUAGGGAAGAAACAGUACCGAACGAACUAGGUCGGUACCUUGACGGUACCUAACCAGAAAGCCACGGCUAACUACGUG